UACGUAGGGGGCAAGCGUUGUCCGGAAUCAUUGGGCGUAAAGAGCGUGUAGGCGGCCCGGUAAGUCCGCUGUGAAAGUCCAGGGCUCAACCCUGGAAUGCCGGUGGAAACUGUCGAGCUAGAGUCCGGAAGAGGCGAGUGGAAUUCCUGGUGUAGCGGUGAAAUGCGCAGAUAUCAGGAGGAACACCAAUGGCGAAGGCAGCUCGCUGGGACGGUACUGACGCUGAGACGCGAAAGCGUGGGGAGCAAACAGG
This 253-nucleotide ribosomal RNA is filed under the name uncultured bacterium. RNAcentral describes it as "partial 16S ribosomal RNA". It matches the Rfam family "Bacterial small subunit ribosomal RNA", at positions 524 to 776 of the family's 1533-position model. The record is from RNAcentral.